GACGAACGCUGGCGGCGUGCUUAACACAUGCAAGUCGAACGGAAAGGCCCUGCUUUUGUGGGGUGCUCGAGUGGCGAACGGGUGAGUAACACGUGAGUAACCUGCCCUUGACUUUGGGAUAACUUCAGGAAACUGGGGCUAAUACCGGAUAGGAGCUCCUGCUGCAUGGUGGGGGUUGGAAAGUUUCGGCGGUUGGGGAUGGACUCGCGGCUUAUCAGCUUGUUGGUGGGGUAGUGGCUUACCAAGGCUUUGACGGGUAGCCGGCCUGAGAGGGUGACCGGCCACAUUGGGACUGAGAUACGGCCCAGACUCCUACGGGAGGCAGCAGUGGGGAAUAUUGCACAAUGGGCGGAAGCCUGAUGCAGCAACGCCGCGUGCGGGAUGACGGCCUUCGGGUUGUAAACCGCUUUCGCCUGUGACGAAGCGUGAGUGACGGUAAUGGGUAAAGAAGCACCGGCUAACUACGUGCCAGCAGCCGCGGUGAUACGUAGGGUGCGAGCGUUGUCCGGAUUUAUUGGGCGUAAAGGGCUCGUAGGUGGUUGAUCGCGUCGGAAGUGUAAUCUUGGGGCUUAACCCUGAGCGUGCUUUCGAUACGGGUUGACUUGAGGAAGGUAGGGGAGAAUGGAAUUCCUGGUGGAGCGGUGGAAUGCGCAGAUAUCGGGAGGAACACCAGUGGCGAAGGCGGUUCUCUGGGCCUUUCCUGACGCUGAGGAGCGAAAGCGUGGGGAGCGAACAGGCUUAGAUACCCUGGUAGUCCACGCUGUAAACGGUGGGUACUAGGUGUGGGGUCCAUUCCACGGGUUCCGUGCCGUAGCUAACGCUUUAAGUACCCCGCCUGGGGAGUACGGCCGCAAGGCUAAAACUCAAAGGAAUUGACGGGGCCCCGCACAAGCGGCGGAGCAUGCGGAUUAAUUCGAUGCAACGCGUAGAACCUUACCUGGGUUUGACAUGGAUCGGGAGUGCUCAGAGAUGGGUGUGCCUCUUUUGGGGUCGGUUCACAGGUGGUGCAUGGCUGUCGUCAGCUCGUGUCGUGAGAUGUUGGGUUAAGUCCCGCAACGAGCGCAACCCUUGUUCACUGUUGCCAGCACGUUAUGGUGGGGACUCAGUGGAGACCGCCGGGGUCAACUCGGAGGAAGGUGGGGAUGACGUCAAGUCAUCAUGCCCCUUAUGUCCAGGGCUUCACGCAUGCUACAAUGGCUGGUACAGAGAGUGGCGAGCCUGUGAGGGUGAGCGAAUCCCGGAAAGCCGGUCUCAGUUCGGAUUGGGGUCUGCAACUCGACCUCAUGAAGUCGGAGUCGCUAGUAAUCGCAGAUCAGCAACGCUGCGGUGAAUACGUUCCCGGG
This 1343-nucleotide ribosomal RNA is filed under the name uncultured bacterium. Its description in RNAcentral is "16S ribosomal RNA". It matches the Rfam family "Bacterial small subunit ribosomal RNA", at positions 28 to 1378 of the family's 1533-position model. The record is from RNAcentral.